RNAcentral lists this non-coding RNA (107 nucleotides) under Terrapene triunguis (Three-toed box turtle). Lineage: Eukaryota; Metazoa; Chordata; Testudines; Emydidae. The record is from RNAcentral.
GAUUAGCACUCCCCUUGAUAAGCAUGGAAGAGGUCCUAGUGACUUUUACAACAGGCAUAUGGUUAAGGCAUUGCCACUUACUUUGUGGCAUCUAACAUUGUUAGUGU